This 736-nucleotide ribosomal RNA is filed under the name uncultured soil bacterium. RNAcentral describes it as "bacterial SSU rRNA". It matches the Rfam family "Bacterial small subunit ribosomal RNA", at positions 30 to 745 of the family's 1533-position model. The record is from RNAcentral.
UCAACGCUGGCGGCGUGCCUAACACAUGCAAGUCGAACGCGAAAGUCCCGCAAGGGAUUAGUAGAGUGGCAAACGGGUGAGUAACACGUGGGUGACCUGCCUUCGAGUGGGGGAUAACGUCCCGAAAGGGACGCUAAUACCGCAUAACAUCCUGCCUUUGAAGAGGUGGAGAUCAAAGCUGGGGACCGUAAGGCCUGGCGCUGGAAGAGGGGCCCGCGUCUGAUUAGCUAGUUGGUGAGGUAACGGCUCGCCAAGGCAUCGAUCAGUAUCCGGCCUGAGAGGGCGGACGGACACACUGGGACUGAGACACGGCCCAGACUCCUACGGGAGGCAGCAGUGGGGAAUUGUUCGCAAUGGGCGCAAGCCUGACGACGCAACGCCGCGUGGAGGAUGAAGACCUUCGGGUCGUAAACUCCUUUCGAUCGAGACGAACGGCCUUGGGGUUAACAACCUCGAGGAGUGACGGUACCGAGAGAAGAAGCCCCGGCUAACUCCGUGCCAGCAGCCGCGGUAAUACGGGGGGGGCAAGCGUUGUUCGGAAUUACUGGGCGUAAAGGGCUCGUAGGUGGCCAACUAAGUCAGACGUGAAAUCCCUCGGCUUAACCGGGGAACUGCGUCUGAUACUGGAUGGCUUGAGUUCGGGAGAGGGAUGCGGAAUUCCAGGUGUAGCGGUGAAAUGCGUAGAUAUCUGGAGGAACACUGGUGGCGAAGGCAGCAUCCUGGACCAACACUGACA